Molecule: unclassified non-coding RNA, 417 nt
Filed under: uncultured Lactarius
Lineage: Eukaryota; Fungi; Basidiomycota; Agaricomycetes; Russulales; Russulaceae
Description: sequence contains ITS1
Rfam family: 5.8S ribosomal RNA (bases 1-105)
Source: RNAcentral
GAAAUGCGAUACGUAAUGUGAAUUGCAGAAUUCAGUGAAUCAUCGAAUCUUUGAACGCACCUUGCGCCCCUUGGUAUUCCGAGGGGCACACCCGUUUGAGUGUCGUGAAAAUCUCAACCUCCUUGGUUUCUUCUGGAGACCAAAGGAGGCUUGGACUUUGGAGGCCUUUGCUGGUGUCUCUCUCUUUUGAAGGCCAGCUCCUCUUAAAUGAAUUAGCGGGGUCCUCUUUGCCGAUCCUUGACAUGUGAUAAGAUGUUUCCAUGCCUCGGUUUCUGGCUCUGUUGCCUUUGGGACCCGCUUCUAACCGUCUUGACCUUGCAUCGAGACAAUGUUCGAGCUUGUCUCCCUUUUCGGGAAACUCUCUCGACCCCACGAACCCUUGACCUCAAAUCGGGUGAGACUACCCGCUGAACUUAA